RNAcentral lists this ribosomal RNA (446 nucleotides) under uncultured bacterium. Its description in RNAcentral is "partial 16S ribosomal RNA". It matches the Rfam family "Bacterial small subunit ribosomal RNA", at positions 338 to 795 of the family's 1533-position model. The record is from RNAcentral.
CCUACGGGUGGCAGCAGUCGAGAAUCAUUCACAAUGGGGGAAACCCUGAUGGUGCGACGCCGCGUGGGGGAAUGAAGGUCUUCGGAUUGUAAACCACUGUCAUGUGGGAGCAAAUUAAAAAGAUCGUACCACAAGAGGAAGAGACGGCUAACUCUGUGCCAGCAGCCGCGGUAAUACAGAGGUCUCAAGCGUUGUUCGGAAUCACUGGGCGUAAGGCGUGCGUAGGCUGUUUCGUAAGUCGUGUGUGAAAGGCGCGGGCUCAACCCGCGGACGGCACAUGAUACUGCGAGACUAGAGUAAUGGAGGGGGAACCGGAAUUCUCGGGGUAGCAGUGAAAUGCGUAGAUAUCGAGAGGAACACUCGUGGCGAAGGCGGGUUCCUGGACAUUAACUGACGCUGAGGCACGAAGGCCAGGGGAGCGAAAGGGAUUAGAUACCUCAGUAGUC